AGCGGCGAAAGGGAGAGUAACGCGUGGUUACAUGCCCAGGGGUCCAGGAUAGCGUUGGGAAACUGGCGGUAAUACUGGAUAAUAUCUAAGGAUCAAAGGUGUGAUUCCGCCCUUGGAUUGGACCGCGUACUAUUAGCUUGUUGGUGGGGUAAAGGCCUACCAAGGCAUCGAUGGUUACCGGGUGUGAGAGCAUGGCCCGGCUCACUGGGACUGAGACACUGCCCAGACACCUACGGGUGGCUGCAGUCGAGAAUCUUCGGCAAUGGACGAAAGUCUGACCGAGCGACGCCGCGUGCGGGAUGAAGGCCCUCGGGUUGUAAACCGCUGUCAGUUUGGAGGAAAGAGAUGUGAAGAGCAUCUCCUGACCGAUAUUCAGAGGAAGGACGGGCUAAGUUCGUGCCAGCAGCCGCGGUAAGACGAACCGUCCAAACGU
This 433-nucleotide ribosomal RNA is filed under the name uncultured bacterium. RNAcentral describes it as "bacterial SSU rRNA". It matches the Rfam family "Bacterial small subunit ribosomal RNA", at positions 94 to 541 of the family's 1533-position model. The record is from RNAcentral.